AGCUGUUAAAACUGAUUGCUUUCAUUUUUUCAAUACCAGUGAGCAAUGCCUACGCAGAACGUGUGUUCAGUCACAUGGAGGAUGCUUGGACUGAUAAAAGAAACAGACUCUCUGUUGCAAUGGUGAAGGCUGAGCUUCAAGUCAGGCUAAACUUUCAGUUGUCCUGUACUGAGUUCAAGACAUUCAUUGAAAAUCAGCCAGGACUCAUAGCAGCAGCAAAGAAAAAUACCAAAUACAAAUGGAAGAUUAGCCAAGAGCAGCAAGCAGCAGAGGCACAGGCAAGCACAAGCAAAGCACACACCACACUCCUCAGGUAAGCUGUUUGACACUACACCUUACAUUGCUACAUUCAGGUAUUCUUACAGACGGUGAAAAAUUACAUUAUUUGUUUUUAUUCCACAUAACCAAACAAACAGAAUUUAAUUAUUUAUUCCCCCUUUACCUGUGCCCACUACUGCCCCCAGGUGUCCACAACUAAAAACUGUCGGAAAUAAACCAAAAUAAUAAAGACCUGCUAUUAUAUAAAGCAAUUAACUAAA
This is a long non-coding RNA of Thalassophryne amazonica, 539 nucleotides long. RefSeq lists it as uncharacterized. Lineage: Eukaryota; Metazoa; Chordata; Actinopteri; Batrachoidiformes; Batrachoididae. The record is from RefSeq and is a predicted model, not a curated record. The transcript is spliced from 2 exons.